Molecule: RNA transcript, 16760 nt
Organism: Ahaetulla prasina
Lineage: Eukaryota; Metazoa; Chordata; Lepidosauria; Squamata; Colubridae
Gene: PKD1
Gene name: polycystin 1, transient receptor potential channel interacting
Exons: 55
Source: RefSeq, a predicted model, not a curated record
GAGGCGGCGGGGCGGGCGCUGCCUUGAAGCAAGCGAGCGAGCGAAGGAGCGGAGGGGCGGCCCGGGCGAAGCGGCCAUGCCAUGCCCGCGCUGAAGCGAUGCCUGUCCGGCGCUGCCUCCGGCCGCCGAGAGCGGAGGGCCGCCGGCGCCGUCACAGCCGCCCCGGCCGCGUCUCGCCCGCCGCCGCUUUUCCCUCGGCGGCCCCGGGCUGGCGGCGCUGGUGCCUGCUGUGCUGCCUGCUGGGCGGCGGGCUGGCCGAGGCGAGCGCCACCCCGCGCGGAUGCCAGCAGUCCUGCGGGCCCGAGUGCGCCUGCCGCGCCGUGGGCAACGCCGCCUGCGCCGUCGACUGCGCCGGCCGCGGCUUGGAGCUGCCGCCCGGACCGGCCUGGCCCGCCGGCACCGUGGAGCUGGAUCUCUCCAGUAACAAGAUCAGCACCUUAAAUGCUGAAGUGUUCCUGCACUUGACUUCUCUGGCAAAACUAGAUUUAAGCAACAACAGGAUUUCUUCGUUAGAAGAUGGAGUAUUUGAUAAUUUAUUUAAUUUAACUGAAAUAGACUUAAGUGGGAAUCCGUUUUUUUGUGAUUGCAAUCUGGCCUGGCUCCCCCGUUGGGUUGAAGAGAGAAAUGUGAAGGUGUCCCGUCGGUCCGAGACUCAGUGUGCUCAGCCUCUGGAACUGGCCGACCUUCCGCUUUUCAACGUCUCCUUCAGUGACGCUACUUGUGGAGCCGAUUACGUUGCCUGCCUGCCGGAGAACAGCACAGGCGGAGCUGAGUCCAUCAUCCGAUUCACUUCCCGUUUGCCACAGAACCUGACGGAGGAGAUGUGCAGCGCCCUUUGCUAUGCCGACGGGCAAGACUAUGGGGGCUUCAGUGAGGAAGCCGACUGCUUUUGUGGCUUUGCCCUGGAGCCCAACGUUUCCUCUGGCUGUUUGCCCUUCUGUGCCAGGCCCCUGGCUGGACCCCUCUGUGGGGGCCCAACGCUGCUUUCCAGGGUCUUUCCGGCUGUGCUGCCCGUGUCCUUGGAGGGCCUGGGGACACCGUGCAGUCUUUACCAAGAGGUGGCUUUCGUUCUCCACCUUCCGGUUGCUGUGGGCACCAUUCAGUGGGACUUUGGGGAUGAAACGGGGCUUUUCAAUACCACCAAGACCACCGUCCUUCAGGUCUAUACGUUGCCAGGACUCUUCAACGUCACAGCCACUGUUUUUGUCGGCAACCGGUUUGUCUCGGCGCAGACCGAAAUCGAGGUGCUGGCCUCCCCAGAGGAAAUGGCGCUUCAGUGUCCCUCUUUGGUGAAGACCAAUGAAAGUUUACAGUUACAUAUAAGGAAUCGUGGAGGAACCGGCUUCUCGGUGGCCUAUAACAUCACUAUCCAGGACCAGGAGCCCGGAAGAGUGGUCCUUCCUGGUUGCCCCUCGGACAGCGUGCUCUUCCCUGGGAACAGCCACUGCUAUUGGCUUGGAGCAGAAAAAGCAGAAUGGCUGGAGGCCCAGAGGCUUUGCCAAGAACACGGCAGUGGAAGCCUGGCCUUUGUCAGCAGCCCCGAAAUCCAGAACUUCUUGGUGUCCAGUGUCACCAGGAGCCUGGAUGUCUGGAUCGGCUUUAAUGACGUGGCAAGCCCUAGCCCUUUGCCACAAGGCGAGGAAGGCUUCGAUCUGCAGAGCUGCCAGAACUGGCUCCCGGGUGAACCCCAUCCCUCCAACGCCGACCACUGUGUCCGGAUGGGUCCUGCUGGGCAGUGCAACACCGAUCUCUGUACGGCCAAGCACAGCUACGUGUGCGAGCACAAGCCACAAGUAGAGAUUCUUCUAAAUGCUGACCGCUUUUCACUGGGAUCUCUUGCGUUUGACACCUAUGUGGCCACCAGAAGCCUGACCGAAAGGGAAGAACCUUCUGCCCCAUCAGGGCCAGUAGAGACUCUGGUGUUUCCCAGCUUGGCAUUUCAACAGGAGGGCUUUUUAGUAGCCCUGGAGCUGGUGACGCAGAAACUACAGCAGCCGGCCCAUAUCCGGUUUCAAGUACACCGUCCAGCCCACCCAAAAGGUUGCAACGAGAUCACGAACGUCACUGACCUCUUCCUUGUUUCCCAAGAGAAUGAGACGUGGACACCAAUGGACUGUCCAGUUGGCCUCCAGUGGUGCCAUUCGGCCAACUCAUGCCAACCACUAGGAAGCUGCUGCUGCCACCAAGAGCCGUGUGCCAACUCAACAACUCAGGCAGCUGUUGGUGUUCCUCACCCCUGCAAAAAUAAAUCCUGGAGCAUGGAGCUUAAGACGUCACAUUUUAUGUUGCCCCUGGGCCCUUCCACACGGUACCUUCUGCUCUUCAGAAGCAAGGACACCUUUGUCAAACCCAACGAUACAGUGAGCGUCCAGCAUGAUGCCGGGCCUGGCGCUUUGCUCCUUUGCCAUCCCAGCCAAAAGCCGCUUACCCAGAUGAGCUAUUUCACCGUCAGCUCUUCGGAUUGGGACCCAGGCUGGCCUGCCCACCCCGCUCCCCAAGCCUGGCAAAACGAUUCCAGGUGCCCUUUCAGGGUGCUGGCGGCUGCUGAAGAGACUGUCCCCCUCCUGCUGAGAAACCACUCCAGCGUUCACCGCCCUGGCCUUUAUGAGGUGCAGGCCACAGUCCACAACAGUCUCUUCAGGAGGAACUUCUCCUGCAACUUCUGGGCUCUUUCUGCGAUCUCAGGCCUCCGUGUUAUUUACCCUCUGGAAAAAAGUGGCAAAGUCUACGUGGAAAGCAACAGCACGUGGCUGGUGGUGAAAAUCCUUUCCGGGAUGAACGCCACUUCCGGCAGGCUGGGGGGCAACCAGAGCUUCCCUUUUGGUCGGAGUUGCCCCCCAGCAGUCACUCCACUGGUGGCCGAGUGCGCAAGAGAGAGCAAUGACACCUGGUUCUCUGUGAUCCUGCUGGAGGGCAUUGGGCACAACCUGAGCACCGUUGUGCUGUGGGCCAAGAAUGCCGUGAGCUCGCAGAACGUCACUGUCAGGGUGAAAGCAGAGGACGCCAUCCGAGGACUCCGUGUGAUGCCAGACCCAGAGACCAGAGUCCUUCAGAACAAGCGUGUGAGCUACAUCCCUGUGAUGGACGCUGGGUCGGACGUCACCUUCAGGUGGAGACUGGAUGACAAGAGCUCCUUUACUUUCUACAAUGAUGUCUUCCAUGUCCUUUACCAGUCCCCAGCUGUGUACAAGCUAUCGCUCACAGCCUCAAACAACGUCAGCAACAUCACCGUCUGCUACAACAUCACUGUGGAGGAGAUGAACAGGAUGAAGGACCUGAAGGUCUCGGAGAUCUUGACCCACAUCCCUCAGAACAGCAGCGUGGAACUGUCCGCAACCGUGAUGGUGGAUUCGGCUGUCGAUGCCAGAUUCCUGUGGGACUUUGGUGAUGGUGACCAAGCCAUUUUGGAGUUUUAUCCUCCCUAUAAUGAAUCCUUCCUGAAGCCAGAUCCCAAGAUCCACCAGGUGCAAAUUGGGCACAAUCUAUCCCAUGUCUACCAAGACCCAGGUGAAUACAGCCUGACUGUUAUAGUCUCCAAUGAGUUUGAGAACCUGACUUAUUCAACCCUUGUCCACAUCUAUGCUCACCUAACAGAAGUGACCAUGCAAGUAGCCUCAGAUGUUUUGGUCGUGGGCCAUCCUGUCACCUUUGAAGCCCAAGCGAUGCCCUCUGGCUUCGGAGUCUCUUAUACCUGGAAUUUUGGGGAUGGUUCAGAAGCAUUUGUGGAAAGCCAGGCCGCCAUAGUCCAUACCUACAGUUCCAGAGGAACGUACAAGGUCAGGGUGCAAGCAAACAACACCAUUAGCACUGUUGAGACGUGGCAGCAUUACCGGGUCUUUGAAGAGAUCAGUGGGUUGUGGGUGUCCUUGAAUGAAACCAUAGAGCUUCGCACCGUGAUUGAGAUCAGCGCUUCUGUGGAAACAGGAGAUAAUAUCACCUGGGUAUUUGACAUGGGCGAUGGGACCAUCGUGGAGACUCCUGUGGCAUCUGUAAAACAUACUUAUUUAGAGGAGAUGAACUGUACCGUAAACGUAACUGCGAUGAAUCCGGUCAAUUCUCUGUCCCGAGCUGUGGCCGUCCAGAUAUUUGUGCUAAUGGUGCUCAAGAUUGACCCUUCCUCUUGUAUAAGAGAAGACCCUGAAGUACAGCUCACAGCUCACGUUUCAGGUAAUCCCCAAAACUACUUUUUUGACUGGACAUUUGGCGACGGCUCAUCCAACAUCACCGUGUACGGUGAUCCAACAGUGAUACACAAUUUCACCAUCAGUGGCAUCUUCCCCCUGUCUUUGGUCCUUUCCAGCAAGGUCAACAAAGCAGAGUAUUAUACAGAGAUUUGCGUGGAGCCAGAGAUCACCAAUGUGACACUUUUGGUAAGGCCAGAACUGGUGUGGCUCGGCAACGAGACCAAAUUUCAAGUCACAGCCUUGCCACCUUACCGCUACCGUUAUCUUUGGGACUUUGGGACGAAUGACUCCGCCAGGUUUGGUGGGACCGAAGUGAGCUAUACCUACAAAAGUCCAGGUGACUAUAUGGUCAUGGUGACCGUCUGCAACAAUGUCUCUUUCAACAAUGUCUCAGCAUUAGUGGAAGUCCAGGAGCCGGUUGGGGUGGCCAAGAUCGAGUCAAACAGCUCAAAGGUUUUGGAGCUGAACCAAGUUUAUCUCUUCUGGGCCAAUGUCACUGGGACCAAAGUUAGUUAUUUGUGGUACUUUGGGGAUGGGAUUUCCCAGUUGGGAAAAUUCAUCACUCAUUCUUACAACAAGAGUGGUACCCAUACCAUCAGUUUGACGUGCUGGAACGAUGUCAGCUUCCACGAGGCCAAGAUGAACGUGACGGUGAAGAGGCGCCUGCAGGGCCUAAGCAUUAACGCCAGCAGGACGGUGGUGCCUCUAAACGGUUCUGUGAGUUUCACUGCUACCCUCCUGGCGGGCACUGCCAUCCGCUACUCUUGGAUCUUGUGCGACAGGUGCACUCCCAUCCCAGGUCUUUCCACCAUUUCCUACACUUUCCGCUCCGUUGGGACGUUCAAUGUGAUUGUGACAGCCGAGAAUGAGAUCGGGGGCCUGCAGAGCAGCAUCUUCAUUUAUGUCUUGCAGCAGAUAGAAGGGCUGCAGAUCACUGGGGGAGACUUCCUGGACAACAUUUACUUCCCCACCAAUAAGACGCUGCAACUACAAGCAGCUGUGAAAGAUGGAACAAACAUCUCUUACAGCUGGACUGUCGAGAAGGAAAGUCACCCUGUGCAGACGUUUACUGGGAAGGCUUUCUCUUUAAUCAUUUUGGAAGCAGGCAUCUUUGCUGUCCAUCUGAAAGCCACCAACAUGCUGGGAAGCUCGGCCGUCAACAAGACAGUGGAGUUCAUUGAGGAGGUGGGCGCCUUAAAGCCAACCGCCACCCCCAAUCCUGCUGCAGUCAAUGCAACUGUUAACAUAAGCGCCAGUGCGGCUGCCGGAAGUGGGCUGCUGUACACUUGGCACUUUGAAGAUGGCCUUUCUCUCUGCACAGCCUCCAGUACCAUCACACACUCUUUCCCGAGCCCAGGAGCCCAAACCGUUACCGUGGUGGCAGGAAACACGUUUGGUUCUGCCAAUGCAUCCCUUGUGGUAUGCGUACAGGAACCAGUAGCGGGCCCAGAGAUUAGGAUCGUAAGGCCAAACAGCAGUUCUGUAGAAUCGGGUACCGUGGUGAACUUUGCUGGGGAGCUUGAAAGGGGAUCUGACAUACUCUGGAUGUGGAAGAUGCAGGACAAAACCAUCUCAGGCCAAAGGGUGGCUCUCAAUUUUCCCGUGGCAGGAUUUUUUCCUGUCUGCUUGAACGCUUCUAAUGACGUCAGCUGGGACGUAGCUUGCCUCAAUCUGACGGUGCAAGAUGCAAUCCAGGGCCUGAAGCUCAGCGUAAGUAAGGACGUGCUGCAGCCAGGGGAACUGGUCUCUUUUGAGGUUGAAAUAUCUUCUGGUUCCUCCGUGAGCUAUAGGGUCACCGUCGGGCAUAACCACUCCGAGAUCCUAAGUACUUCCAGCUUCACCUACAAGUUCAGCCAAGUUGGAGAGUACUUAGUGAGAAUAACUGCAGAGAAUCAAGUAAGUGUGGCUUACACUGAGCAUCUUAUCGUGGUGCUGGAGGCCGUGCGUGGCCUCCAGAUCACUGAUUGCUGUGAACGAGGAAUGCCGGCUGCGGUGGAGAAACAGUUCACAGCUCGGAUUGAGAGUGGCUCACAGGUGUCUUACGUCUGGCAGUUCACCUUAAUAAAAGAGCAGCAGCGCUCCCAGGUUCACUUAGAGGGUCAAAGUGUCUCUUACACCCCAGAAGCAGCGGGGCAGUUGGACAUCCACCUGUGCGCUUUCAACAGUCUGAGCAGCCUGAACAUAACUGUGGUGACCCAAGUCCAAGAUUUCAUCCUCCAGCUUUCCAUCCAGCCCAUUGAUUCCUUUGUCAACCGCACAACUUUGUUCGAAGCCUCCGUGCUGCCCAGUGCCAGAGAAGUCCUGUUCUGGUGGCAUUUUGGGGAUGGCUCUCCAGCUGUGCAAACGAGCGUGCCAUUGGUCAGCCAUGUUUAUCUGAGGCCUGGCGAUUAUGCGGUGGGGGUGAACGCCACCAACCUCAUCAGCUUCUCCAUUGCCCACUGCACGGUCACCGUCCGAAUCCUGGAGUGCGAGGAACCAGAAGCAGAGCUUGCUUUACCUGCUCAGGUGUUUAUGAAAAGAUCCCAGAAGAAUUAUCUGGAGGCCCAGAUUGACUUGCGAGGAUGCACCAGGUACCAGACUGCCUACCUCUGGGAGAUCUACAAAGCCCCGAGCUGCCUACACCUGGAGGCUUUUGCCAAAGUCCAGUUGGUCGGCGUGGAUGUGAGCCGGCCACAGUUGGUCAUCCCCAAGCUUACCUUGGAUCUCGGCAACUACUGCUUCAAAUUCUUGGUCUCUUUUGGUGAUACUCCUCUGUCUAAAAGCAUUUUUGCCAAUGUGACAGUUUUGCCCAAUAAACUGGUGCCCAUCAUUGACGGAGGAUCGUACCGUGUGUGGUCCAGCACCCGGGACUUGAUCCUGGAUGGCGAGAAAUCCUAUGACCCUAACUGGGAAGACUGGGAACAGACACCGUUAUAUUAUCACUGGACUUGCGUCUCGUCUUCCAAAAAUUCACCAGGUGCACGUGGCCUCAACUUCAGUGCCACAGGAGGACUGGUCACCAUCCCUUGGGCCAUGCUGGAAGCAGAUGUGGAAUACACAUUUGACCUCACCGUCUCGAAACCAGGCAUGGAUUCAGAAGCCACAAAUCAAACCGUCUUACUGAAAAAAGGGACGGUCCCCAUCGUGUCCCUGGAGUGCGUCUCCUGCAAGGCGCAGUCUGUCUACGAAGUCAGCCGGAGCUCCUACGUCUACUUGGAAGGGACCUGCUUGAACUGCCAGAACAACUCCAACCAGGAGACUAAGCCGAGAUGGACAGCUCAGAGCUUCAAAAAUGAAUCUCUGCUUUUGAACAAGAGAUCGACCUCCACAGGGAAUGCUGAGAUGAGCCUCGUCUUGCGUCCGUGGGCUCUGGAGGAUGGGGAGGGGUACACCUUCACCCUCUACAUCACAGACCUGGCCACUGGGGAAGAAGGCUAUGCUUCCAUUGACCUGUUUCCCAACCAGCCCCCCUUCGGGGGAUCGUGCCACCUUUUGCCUGCAAGUCCUGUCCAAGCAUUGGCUACCAAGAUCCACUUUGAAUGUGCAGGCUGGAGAGAUUCGGUGGGAGAAGACCCCCCCUUGGUGUACAUCCUCAUGGCCACCCGUUGCCGUCCAGGCCACUGCGACGAAUUCUUGGUGUACAAAGGAAGCCACCCUGCCCACGCAGCCUUCCUGCCGCCCGGGUUCCAAGAGCACGGCUCCCUCGUGUUAGUCUCGGUGCUUGUACAGGACCAGCUGGGAGCAACAGUGGUGGCCAUAAACAGGCAUAUGGUCAUCACCCUGCCCAGGACGCCGGAGGGAUUCCACAGUCUUCCCCAGUGGCUUUACAACAAGACGGAGGUGAUACUGCAAGGCCUGGUCAAACAGAGUGACCCCCAGCCUGUUAUUGAGUAUUCACUGGCUCUCAUCACCAUCUUAAAUGAGCAUGAAUCUUCUGCGCAUCCAAAGCUGGGAGCCGAGUCCGAUGCCCCCCUCCAGAUCUGGAUCCGGAAAAACGUUACCAAAACCUUGACCUCCUUGAAUGUCAACACCGUGGAUGACAUCCGACAGAUUGUGGCUGCGCUGGCUCAGUGUAUGGUGGCCAGUAAGGAAUUUGUCUGUCGAUCUUGCCUGACAAAGACUUUGAGGAAGCUUGAAUCGAUGAUGGCCAUUCUUCAAGGAGAGACCCUGCAAGGAACCAUGACCCCCAAAGCCAUUGCUGACAACAUCCUCGAUAUCAUGGGAGACUUAAUCCACCUCGUCAACGCCGUUUCCCAGGAGUCCGAGCGCCAGGAGCUCUCUAACACUCCGAAUCAGGAGCAGGUGGCUUCCAAAGCCUACGCUUUGUCCACUGACUUGAUGCGCAUCCUAAUGAAGUCCCGAGUGCUCAAUGAGGAGCCCCUGGAGUUGGCCGGGAGCAACAUCACGGCCAAAGGGAAACGAGCCGACCCCCAGGCCCUGCUCUGCUACGGAGACACCCCAAGCUGCCAGUUCUCCAUCCCCCAGGCCUUCCGAGCCACCUUCUCUGACCUGACGGACGUCGUCCAGGUCAUCUUCCACGUCGACUACAACCCGUUCCCCUUUGGCUACAUCACCAACUACAGCGUCUCCUCCGAGGUGGCCUCCAUGGAGUUUCAGAGCAGCAAUGGCACAGAAAUAGCGGUCGGCAGCCUGGAUGUGGAAAAGGCCAUCACCGUGGCGGUUGUAGACUCUGGGCCGAAGAACAUCACCGUGGGCACAGUGGUGGUGGAGGAGAAGAAUUCGGUGCAUGUGGUGGUCUCCAUGGAGAACAGCAACACAGAAGCCGGGCUGUAUUUCCAGAUCACCUUCAGCAUCGUCACAGAUCGUUACGUCUCCCGGGAAAAGGAGCCCUUUCUUGCCGUUUGCCUCUUCCACUCCCCUGAAUCCGGAGAGCGCAACUGCACGGCCUCCAAGGAGAUCUCUCUGCAGGAAAUGAAAGAGGGGCCGCAGGGCGACCCACGGCACUACACCAUCUUUGUUCCCCCAGGGAUUGCAGACACAGUGAGAGACCAUCACUUGAACAUCACCAACCAUUUCGUGUGGUCCCCCGUGGAGGUGACUCUGGGUCUCUACAGCUCCCUGUGCCAGUAUUUCAACGCGGAAGAGGCCCGUUGGAAGACGGAGGGCAUGGCUCCUUUGGAGGGGGCCACUCCAGAGAAGGCCGUGUGCUUAACCCAGCACCUGACUGCUUUUGGGGCAAGCCUCUUCGUUCCCUCGCACUCUGUGCAGUUCAUAAAGCCACCUCCAGGCCCCGGGCUCAACUACAUCGUUCUGCUGACUUGCGCUGUGUGUCUGGUGACUUACUCCAUGGCAGCUGUGAUUGUGCACAAAUUGGAUCUGAUCGACAUCAGUCGUGUGGGGUCGAUCCCUUUCUGUGGGAAGAACGGGCUGUACAGAUACGAAAUCUUGGUGAAGACAGGCUGGGGCAAAGGGUCAGGGACGACAGCCCACGUGGGGAUCACUUUGUAUGGGAUGGAUAGCAAAUCUGGGCACAGACAUCUGGACGAUGAUAAUGCCUUUCGCCGCAACAGUCUCGACAUCUUCCAGAUGGCCACAGAGCGGAACCUGGGCAGUGUGUGGAAGAUCCGGAUUUGGCACGACAAUAAAGGGCUCAGCCCAGCUUGGUUUCUGCAGCAUGUCAUUGUCAGGGACUUGCAGACCUACAAGAGCUACCACUUCUUGGUGAACGACUGGCUGUCUGUGGACAGCCUGGAGAAUGACGGCCUGGUGGAGAAGGAGGUCUUUGCUGCCAGUGAGGCGGACCUGAGGAGCUUCUUCCGGAUCUUCCUUGGCGAGCUGCAGCGGGGUUUCUUUGAGAGGCACAUCUGGCUCUCCCUGUGGGACCGGCCCCCACGCAGUCGCUUCACCCGGGUCCAGAGAGCAUCAUGCUGCUGCCUCCUCAUCUUCCUCUUCCUCUGUGCCAAUGCCGUGUGGUACGGGGUGGUGGCAGACGCCAACUUCAGUCAGGUGCCCAUCUCCACCCUGAUCCCGGUUAAUGGCGAGACCAUCUUGGUUGGCUUGGUUUCCAGUUUGGUGGUUUAUCCUCUGUACCUAGUUCUCCUGUUCCUCUUCCGGAUGGCACGAAGCAAGGUGAACAUCAGCCAAUCUCUGGCCCAUUCAGACCAGCAGUCCCUGGAGAUCGACAACUACCUGGACUCAUCGCUUCUGGAGAGCUCCUUCAUCACCUUCCCUGGCCUUCGGACAGAGGCUUUUUCAGAGGAAACCAAAACCGAUUUGAUCCUGGACGACUCAAAAAGCCUGAUCCGGUGGCAGUCCAACGAAGCCCUGGUCAACUGGCCAGACCUGCUCAAUGACCCAUCCAUCAUGGGCAACACCAUCCAGAAGCUGAAAAGAGGGCGGACCAGUCGUCAUCUCGGCCUGGAGGCUCCUUUGGCCCCUGAGGGGGACGGCCUGACGCCGGCCUUUCCCCAGGCUCAAGCCAGAUACUUUUCUGCUUCCGAUGAAGAUCUGAUACGGCAGAUUCUUACAGAUGGAAAUGGUGGCAUCGCUCAACCUCAGGAAGCGGGAAGCUACCCCAAGGUGGAAACGGACCUCCUCUCUGGGCUGUCAAACAUGCCGGGGGACAAGUUGGAAGCGAUCGUGUUGCAGAGACUGAACGAGAAAGGCCAGAGCGUAGCAGUCCCUGGCCGGGAACUGAAUCAUUCUGCCAAAUCAACCCGAACAGUUGUGGACCACAGUCUCCGGAAGCGCCUGCUGCCCUCUUGGUGCUCCUACUUGGCACACGCCAUCAGCCUCCUCCUCCUCCUUGUCUGCUUUGGGGUCUCUGUGUGGAUCGGAGUGGGGUUCAGCUCCAGCGUGGCCCUCAUGUGGCUGAUCUCAGGGAUUUUUAGCUUCCUCUCCUCCUUUUUGCUCUGGGAACCCCUCAAGAUCCUCCUGGAAGCCCUUUACUUUUCUCUGGUGGCCAAGCGUCUGCACCCCGAGGAGGACGACACUCUGGUGGAACAACCCGUUGUGGAACACGUCUCAGAGAAGAUCGGGAAGGUCCGGCCCCCUCAGGGCUUUGCUCUUUUCCAGGCCAAAGAGGAGGCCAGAAAAGUCAAGCUUCUACACAACCUACUCAAGAACUGCUUUGUCUACAUGUUCUUCCUGCUGGUCGUCCUUCUCACCAACUACAGUGGGCCUUCACACAACAGCCAGGCGUUUCUUUUGCAAAAGUCCAUCAAGCAGCAGCUUGGCAUCAGGCAAUUCCUGGAGAUUAAGAGAUCCGAUGACUUCUGGCUUUGGACCACGCAGGGACUGUUGCCCUUUCUGUACCGAAACCGGUCUGCCCAGGGAAGCUCGGGUAUCACCCUGGGGGUCCCACAACUGCGGCAAAUCCGUGUGCAAGAAGAGUGCUUGAGUUCGCUGGAAGAGGCUCUGAGCGGGACGAAGAGAAGAUGCGCUUUCGGUUCCAACAGCUUUGACACCACCAGCUACGCGGCUGGCUGGAAGAGCCCCUCGGACAACCUGGGGCCGCUCUGGACCUACUCUCCUCCUGACUUGGCUGGGGCCUGGUACUGGGGCUACCUUUCCAUCUAUGACAGCGGGGGUUACAUCCAGGAAUUGGGAACGACUCUCUCAGAAAGCAACGCUGGUCUGCAGGGCCUCCAGCAGAACAACUGGAUCAGCAACAGGAGCCAGGCAAUCUUUGUGGAAAUGACCCAAUACCACCCUGUUCUGGACCUCCAUGCUGCCGUCACGCUCCGGUUGGAGUUCCCCCUGGCGAAACACGCUGUGCCAGCUGUGACCGUCACUCCCUUCCCGCUGCACCCGCUUGGCAGGAGGGUUACCCCGCAGCUGCUCAUGAUGGUCUUCCUUAUGAUCCUGGUGGUCUAUUUCGUGGUCUCCGAGUCUCUCGCCAUCAAGAAGGAAGGCAAGGCUUACUUUGCCCUGCUCAGCAGCUACGGGCAGUGGCUGCUCAUCCUGGCCACCACCUGCACGGUGGUCGUCCACCUCAGCCAGGCCACUCUCGCUGAGCGGCAGUGGGCAAAGUAUCUGAAGAACAAGCGGGCCUUCACCAGCUUCUCCCCGGUGGCAUCUCUCCACGCUGCCUUCAGCUGCCUGGCUGCUUCUCUGCUCUUCCUGCUGACAGUCAAGGCUUCCCAGCAGCUGCGCUUCAUCCGACAGUGGUCCACGUUUGGCAAAGCUUUGCAGAAAUCGGCCGGGGAGCUGCUGGGCAUCGGUUUGGCCUUUCUGAUCCUGACGUUGGCUUACACACAGCUCGGCUACCUGCUGAAAGAAAAACUGGCCAUAUUGAAAAGAGAAUACAACAAAACAUUCCACAGGUUGCAGCGUGCCGAGAGAGCAGCGAAGGUUAAAAAUUACAUCAAGAAAACGGUCGGAGAGCAGAACCUGCUGCUUGAACAGGAGGAAGCUCUGAAGAACCAUGCAGGAGACCUCAGUCAACUAUCUCCAGAGCCCCCAAAGGAGGGGCAGGCUGGAAUUUCCUGCCCAGGCAGCACCGCAGAGGCCACACCUGUUCUCUUUAAGUCCGGGGCCUUUGAAGGCAGCUUGCCAGAAACAUCUGGCUCCAGAAGGACCCAUCAGUCUGGCCGAAGGGUCCUCUUUAAUUCUGUGGAGCCCCCUCCGGGGAGGAACUGCAGCCUGCACUUGGCCACUGGAACCGGUGGAGAGCAGAGAGAGAUGCUCUCUUUGGCCCAGAGGGGAGAAACGGCGUGGGAGGGGCAUCAGGGAGAGCAUGAGAGGGCCACAGACCAAGGCUCAGAGUCCCCAGCUUUUAAGAGGAGCAGCAGCAGCCUCUUGGACCCUGGCCAGGGGAGCCCCCCCGAGUCCCCCCUGCGAGCUAGCCAAGGAGGAAGUGGCGAUGUUACUCCUAUAGUGUCAGAUCCAGACUCCGAGCAGGACAUGUGGAUGCAAACCGAUAUUCCUGGGGUAACGCAAGAACUUCCUUCUUCCCUGCCGCACACGAGUCGGGGAUCUUCACUUGACCCCCUGAGCCAAGAGAGUGUUUCUGUUCGGGAGGACUUGGCUGCUGCGAAUGUGUCAUGUGCCAGUGUGCAGAAUGAGGAGAAGGAAGAGGAGAAGUCUGGGUGGGGGGGCAAGGAAGAUUCAGGAAGAUUGGCGGGCCCAGCGGCGACCCCUGGCGCUGCUCAAGGAGAGAGAACUGUUCCUGGUUGGCAUCCAGAUGACACGGAUAACGGAGACCCCCCCAGCAAGAAGGCAAGCGGAGAGGAGGAAGGGCACAGCCUUGAAGUGGGGUCACCCCCCCUGGGAGGGGUCUCCCCCAGUAAGGGGGUGCUGAGCUCUUGCACAGUGGUUGAGGGACUCAUGUUUCCCCUGGAAUAUUAUGUGCGCAUGACCCGGCGACUCUCCAGGCGCCAGGAGGAGGUGAACUUGGAGGCGGUCAUUCAGAGCCAGCUGGGCAAAGGCAGAAAGGGCCGGAGGGUGACCCACAAACAGCUGGCGGCAAAUCCAACCCAGCCCUCCCAGGAGCUCCCCAAAAGUGAUGAUCGACUGAGCUCAACUCCCAGUAUGCCAGGGGAUACUUCUGAGUCCACGCCUGUCUCUCGCGAGAGUGCCGGGUCCAGCCGCGGCCAGGGCAGGAGAAGCCUGAGGCUGAGGAGGAGGAGGACCCAGCAGAGGACUUCCUCCAGCACAGACAGAGGACGCAGCCCGCCAGCGGGCUCCCUGGAUCCGGCUUCUCCUGCUGUCUGGAUGGUGGAGAAUUCUGCUGUUGCGGCUUUGCCUCCUGGCCCUCCGUGUAGGGAGGGGUCCCGUCUCAGCUGGCUGCCUCCCAGUCUGCCCCACCAAGAGUUCCACCUGCCCGAUGAGGACUUCGGCUACCUGAAGUCCAAGAAGCUCAAAGUCUGCCCUGAGAAGCCGUUGAGGGUCUCGGAUGCUGGGGGAUCCAGCAAGGGUCCUAGGAGCCCACCUGGGGAGGCUCCUCAAAUCCUCCUGCCUGGAAUGAGGGGGACCCCCUCAGCUCUUUCUUCCCGUGAGUUGCUCCUCUCCCCGGCCUUGGACACUGGACAGAGCCUUUUGCAAACCCCCGAUUUCCCCCUGGUGGGGGCAACCCCAGCUCCCCUGCAGUCCUUCCCAGGCGCCCUUGGGGCCUCUCCUUCGCAAGGAGCAGUGUCUCCUGGCCCAGGAAGGGGCAUGGGGCAGCCUCGCUCGCUGGGCCCAGCUGGAAUUGACAGGAAGGCUGGGAAAGAAGCCGCCAGCCCAUCAGAGGAGCCAUUCGAGUGUGACAAGGAGCCUCCCAGGCAGAGCAGCCCAGCUGAAGAGGUCCAAGCGGAGGCACCAGCGGGCACUCCGAGAGAAGGCCACUUGAAAAUGACUUCAAAACUGAAGAACGGCUCCGGCUCCUGCUUGGUGGACAUGAGCGCUGUGUGGUGGGAAGCUGCUGACUCCGAAGAAUUGUGCGUUGUGACGGCUGAGGAAACAUCCAUUUCUCUCUGGAGGCCUCUGGAACUUGGCCAGUGGGGGACGGUGCACACCUGGCACUUUACAAAGCUUCCAGUUCUCCAAAUAGUUCCCCUGUCGGGGGCUCGCAGCGUGGUGUGCGCAGUGCUGGGGCGCCUGGAAACAGCCGAGAUAAGGCUUCUGUUCCAUUCUUCUGAAGACGGCUGUGCUAAAGAGGAGCUGCUCAAAGCCGGAAACAUAAACGCCGUUCUUGGUCUGACCGAUAGAAAGCUGGUCUGCAGCUGUUGGUCCCUGCAAGGCCAAGAAGUGGAAGUCUUUUCUUUCUCUGAGAUGGGAAGGAGCCAUAAGAGGUGGCCUUUGAUGCCCCCGGAAGAGACCGUCUUGGCUUUCGCCGAUGUGGCUGGACUGCAGGAGGCUCUGCUUGGAAUGACCGCCAUGAACUGCAUCGUGCUCUGGUGAGCCCACAGGCUGCUCCGCAGAACUUUCCCCUGGCCCAGCUAUUUUUCUUCAUUAAAAUUCUGACUCAGUUCAACAAAGAUGUUACAGUAGAUAACACAUAAAAACGUAUGUAUAAACUAUAUUGCUGUUGCAAAAAACCGCUCAGUGCAUAAAUGGAAAAAUGUAAAACUAACUGAAAGGGGCGGAAGAGUGAAAUAACUGGAAAAAAGAAAUUCAGAAAACUAGGACUAAAACAAAAAUUCUAAUAUUUCCAGUACAAAAGUUUUAAUUAUGUAUACAUACAUACAGAAAAAGGGACUUGGUGGUAAAAAAGGGACACGGUGGCUCAGUGGCUAAGACACUGAGGUCAAUCGAAAGGUUGGCAGUUCAGCGGUUCGAAUCCCUAGUGCUCCGUAAUGGGCAGUUCAAAAGCAGGUAAAAAAUGCAAAUAGAAAAAUAGGGACCACCUUUAGUGGGAAGGGAACAGCGUUCCGUGCGCCUUUGGCAUUGAGUCAUGCCGGCCACAUGACCACGGAGGCAUCUUCAGACAGCACUGGCUCUUCGGCUUUGAAACGGAGCACCGCCCUCUAGAGUCGGGAACGACUAGCACAUAUGUGCGAAGGGAACCUUUACCUUUAACAGAUUUUUGCAAUUCAGAUUUUAAAAAUUGCCUUAGGCUGAGACCAUGCAGAACUAAAUAUUAUCCUGUCCAGUCUUGCCCCUCAGUUGAAACUGAGUAUUUGAAUAGAGUUGACCAAAAUAAACAUCCGAUUCAUAUUUCCAGAAGUAUACUCUCAACCUUAUCUAUCAAAUUUCAAAAUUAAAAAGCUCCAUUUUUAGUUUAGCAGUGCAUAGAGGUGUGUGAGGACCUUAACUUCCUUCCCAGAACAUAAUUCAUAACAGCGAUAAUAUCUAACUUGCUUCCUGGAGUUGUGAGUGCUCCAUCACUGGAGAUUUCCAAGAAGAAAUUGGUCAGCCCUUUAUCCAGGAUGCUAUAAGGCUCCUGCCUUGAACAGGGGGUUGAACUAGAUGACCUCCAAGGUCUCUCCAGCUCUGGGAUUCUGUGUUCUAACAAGGAACUUUCACCAAAUACGGCCAUAACAUCUGUGGCAUAGAAAGGAUGACAGCUGAACUUUUUAAAAAAAUCCUUGGAAGAGUCCAGCAGAUAUGAACAGUUGGCUCUGAGAGGCUCAGCCUUCCUUCUUGGUGUUAGACCUGCUGUUCUGUCUUCCUCCGCCUCCGUCCGAAUGAUGGCUUAAUUACUCGGCACUAUCAGCUCUGGCGGCAAAAGAGCCAGCGUAUGCCAAGAGCCCUCGUUAUCUUCCACAACGCUGGUGAGUCACAGACUUCAGCUCUAGUCAAUCAGUGGAUUUGCCUGUUACAAAGAGACACACCAGCUCUUGCUGCCUUUUAUAUCCUGUGGGGUGUGGCUCCAUGACUCAGCACUUCCUAGGCCUGCCCCACCCCUGCUUCUGUUGUUCCCUCCUCUCCUGCCUACGAAACCUAGGGUCCAACCAAGCCUGAUUGCUGUCAGCUGGGUCUGCAGGCGUGGCCGGGGGGGGGGAAGAGUCGGGACGGAGGCCUCGUUAUCUCUUCCACCUGGCCUGCCUCUGGCUCCUGGAGCUGAGCCAGGGGAGCCGGUGCUCCCGAGGAACCUGGGCACCGGGCAGUUGCUGAAGAAGAUUCGGGUGGGAUGGUCCUUCCCUGCAUCCGUCUGCCACAAGGCCUACUCCGAUUCGGGCCUCCUCUUCCUGGUCUUCAGCCACCCACACACCA